RNAcentral lists this ribosomal RNA (301 nucleotides) under uncultured bacterium. RNAcentral describes it as "partial 16S ribosomal RNA". It matches the Rfam family "Bacterial small subunit ribosomal RNA", at positions 509 to 807 of the family's 1533-position model. The record is from RNAcentral.
CAGUCGCCACGGUAAGACAGAGGAUGCAAGCGUUAUCCGGAAUGAUUGGGCGUAAAGCGUCUGUAGGUGGCUUUUCAAGUCCGCCGUCAAAUCCCAGGGCUCAACCCUGGACAGGCGGUGGAAACUACCAAGCUGGAGUACGGUAGGGGCAGAGGGAAUUUCCGGUGGAGCGGUGAAAUGCGUAGAUAUCGGAAGGAACACCUGUGGCGAAAGCGGCUCACUGGACCAUUUCUGACGCUGAUGCACGAAAGCUAGGGGAGCAAACAGGCUUAGAUACCCCUGUAGUCCCUGUCUCUUAUAC